Molecule: ribosomal RNA, 468 nt
Filed under: uncultured bacterium
Lineage: Bacteria
Description: partial 16S ribosomal RNA
Rfam family: Bacterial small subunit ribosomal RNA
Source: RNAcentral
GACGAACGCUGGCGGUGUGCUUAACACAUGCAAGUCGAACGGUAAUGCCCUGCUGUUGUGGGGUGCUCGAGUGGCGAACUGGCUAGUAACACGUUAUUAACCUGCCCUUGACUUUGGGAUAACUUCAGGAAACUGGGGCUAAUACCGGAUAGGAGCUCCUGCUGCAUGGUGGGCGUUGGAAAGUUUCGGCGGUUGUGGAUGGACUCGCGGCUUAUCAGCUUGUUGGUGGGGUUGUGGCUUACCAAGGCUUUGACGGGUACCCGGCCUGAGAGGGUGACCGGGCACAUUGGGACUGAGAAACGGCCCAGACUCCUACGGGAGGCAGGAGGGGGGAAUAUUUCAAAAAGGGCGGAAGCCUGAAGCAACAAAGACGGGGGCGGGAUAAAGGCCUUAGGGUUGUAAAAAGGUUUCGCCUGUGACGAAGCGUGAGUGACGGUAAUGGGGAAAGAAGCACCGGCUAACUACGUG